This 731-nucleotide ribosomal RNA is filed under the name uncultured bacterium. Its description in RNAcentral is "bacterial SSU rRNA". It matches the Rfam family "Bacterial small subunit ribosomal RNA", at positions 771 to 1501 of the family's 1533-position model. The record is from RNAcentral.
AACAGGAUUAGAUACCCUGGUAGUCCACGCCGUAAACGAUGUCGACUUGGAGGUUGUGCCCUUGAGGCGUGGCUUCCGGAGCUAACGCGUUAAGUCGACCGCCUGGGGAGUACGGCCGCAAGGUUAGAACUCAAAUGAAUUGACGGGGGCCCGCACAAGCGGUGGAGCAUGUGGUUUAAUUCGAUGCAACGCGAAGAACCUUACCUACUCUUGACAUCCAGAGAAUUUGCUAGAGAUAGCUUAGUGCCUUCGGGAACUCUGAGGCAGGUGCUGCAUGGCUGUCGUCAGCUCGUGUCGUGAAAUGUUGGGUUAAGUCCCGCAACGAGCGCAACCCUUAUCCUUUGUUGCCAGCGAGUCAUGUCGGGAACUCAAAGGAGACUGCCGGUGAUAAACCGGAGGAAGGUGGGGAUGACGUCAAGUCAUCAUGGCCCUUACGAGUAGGGCUACACACGCGCUACAGUGGCAUAUACAAAGAGAAGCGAACUCGCGAGAGCAAGCGGACCUCAUAAAGUAUGUCGUAGUCCGGAUUGGAGUCUGCAACUCGACUCCUUGAAGUCGGAAUCGCUAGUAAUCGUAGAUCAGAAUGCUACGGUGAAUACGUUCCCGGGCCUUGUACACACCGCCCGUCACACCAUGGGAGUGGGUUGCAAAAGAAGUAGGUAGCUUAACCUUCGGGAGGGCGCUUACCACUUUGUGAUUCAUGACUGGGGUGAAGUCGUAACAAGGUAACC